Long non-coding RNA from Juglans regia (Persian walnut), 746 nucleotides. RefSeq lists it as uncharacterized. The transcript is spliced from 3 exons. NCBI's taxonomy places the organism in Eukaryota, Viridiplantae, Streptophyta, Magnoliopsida, Fagales, Juglandaceae. The record is from RefSeq and is a predicted model, not a curated record.
UCUUUUGAUUCACCAGGAGCGUGAGUGAAUCAAGAAAUGACGGUGGGUAUAAACACCAAUAUCUAUAAAACCGCUGAAGAUCAUGUGAGUUUAAGGCCCUCGAUUCUGUAUUCCAGUGGGUAGCGUGUGAGAGAGAGAGAGAGAGAGAGAGAGAGAGCGAGAGCAUACCUUUCUCAAAUACCUCUAUGCCUUACUUCAUGCAAUCCGAUGAUCAACUGCCGGUGUUAUUCAAGAGUGUAAGCGCAUGAGGUUCUUCGAAAAUAAGUAGGAGGAGAAGCGGAGGAUGCAGGAGGCCACUAAGCGCAACAAAAGGAGCACUAGGGCUACUCCAGUCUCCAUGUUCUGUUCCCCUAAAAACCUAGCCGCCGUGUAGGGAUCAGCUGCGUCUUUCGUGGAGUACAAAGUUCAUAUACUUCAUGUAGAAUGGGGAAAAGUUCAAUCUAGCAAUCACUAUGCAUGACAUUAUGUGGGUGCCCCCAAUUAAGAACUCCACCAGAGAGCAAGCCGGAAGCCACAACAAACAAGAAGGAAGAUGAUGAGGAUAAUUGGGAUCUGCCUGAAGAGGGAGACAUCCCCUAUUAACUGCAUUCAACGUGCCUUCAAUUUAGAAAACUCUUCACCUUUUGAGUGCAAGAAACUCUUGGUAUCGGUAAAAAAGAAAAAAAAAAAAAAGGUUAUCCUAAUGAAAAAAUCUAUUUGUAACUUUUUUUUUACACAGUACUCAACACAUCAUUUAUGUAAAAAGU